UUUCACUUUGGGAUGAUAACACAGGUUUGGAAUGGAUACUGGUGAUAGUUGCACAACAAUGUAUUUCUACUUAAUGUACUUAAAUUUUCUCUUAUACAUAUUUCACCACAGAAAAAAAAUUAGCAAAUAUUUAAAAAUCUACAUGUUUCUUUGAACUGUUUCUUUACGUCCCUUGUCCAUUUUUCAAUUUGGCUGUUGGUCUUUUAAUAAUUUAGGAUAGCUAUAUAGCUAUAUAUAUACAUAUAUAUUACACAAAUUAGCUUUUUGUCUGUCAUGUAUGUUGCAGAUCUGUUUCCCCAGUCUGUUGACUUUUGACUUUGAUGCAUUUUUCUUGCCUAUAAAGUUUUAAUUUUUAUGGAGUCAAAUGCAUCAGUCUUCUAUUCAAAGACUUAUUUAUGGGUUUGGUGUUUCAGUUUAGGAUGAAAAAGAAGUUGUAGAUAUGGAUAAAGGAGAUGGUUGUACAACACAUUAUAUUGGACCACUCAACUGUACGUUUAAACAUGGUUAAAAUGGCAUGUAUCAAACCAAGAAAGCGGCUAGGAGGGCAACACAUCUACCUGUAUACAGGGAGCUAUGAAAUACGUGAGCUGCGCAAGUGAUGCACAAGGAAACGGAAGCAGUAUGACCUUUACACAGUGACCUGGCUCAAAUAAUUUCAGGCUGUCAUUAACCAGGCGAGCUCCACUUUCUCUCUGAGGUUGGGUGUUAAUCUGAUGUGGUGCUCUUGGAGAAGCUUGCUUGAGUUCGGCGCUUUCUCAGCACGUGGUGUGUGCUGCCCCUUCAAGCUGCAGGAGUCCCAGAAAGCUGGAAGAGGGGCUCCAGAAACUUGGGAAACCUGGGCCUGUAGCUGGCAUGUGGAAAAGAGGCCUGGAAAAGCACCAUUCCUGUCCAUGAAGCCCCCAGAUGGAACCAGGUCCUGUUCAGAAACCCCAUCUGUGCCUUUGGAGGGACUGCCCUGCGCACACAGGCCCAGCAACCACCAUCUACGGCCCCCAGGACCUAAUCCCCUUCUACUUGGGAUUCAGUGCAUGUUAGCAGACACUGGGCUUGAUUCCUGCCUAGUCCCUGCCAGAUAUCCCAUGCCCACCUCAUUAAGAGAAUGAGGCCACACAAACACACCCAGGCCAUCGUGAUGAUGGAGUGCCUGGGGUCCCACUUGCCCACCCUUCAUUGCUGGUUCAGAGCCAGCUCUGACCACAUUCCUACCCUGAGAUGGGACUCUGGGGACAUUGUCCACCAGGGUCACUGACCCCUUUUAACGUUCCAGAAACAUGGCCAGCUGGUCCCCUAGAAGUUU
Molecule: long non-coding RNA, 1297 nt
Filed under: Homo sapiens (human)
Lineage: Eukaryota; Metazoa; Chordata; Mammalia; Primates; Hominidae
Description: HSALNT0392316
Source: RNAcentral